Molecule: long non-coding RNA, 554 nt
Organism: Pollicipes pollicipes
Lineage: Eukaryota; Metazoa; Arthropoda; Thecostraca; Pollicipedomorpha; Pollicipedidae
Exons: 3
Source: RefSeq, a predicted model, not a curated record
GAUUGCGUUCUAGGGGACUGUGGUUUUGGGGCGCGAUUUGCUGAUGUGAUGUAUUUAGCUCGGCUUGUUGGCAUGCACACUUUUUGAGUGAGUCGAGUUUGUAAGUUUGCAUUUCACGUGAAUGACAGUAGUUUGUGUUUCAUUGUGUCUAGAAAGUUGCUUAACGCUAUGAAAGAAUCCAAGAUCACUUCAAGCUCGGACGUUAGCAUGGGAGUUCAACAGGGUGGUCUAGAAGAAAUCAAAAUUGCAGGUGGAAGCAUUGUGGAUGACAAGCCUGUCUUCAGUGCAGACUCAAAGUUCUUGUUUGUUGUCAAUGAUGGAAAGGUUCAUGCUUACAAUGCUGCAACGGGCGAAUUGGCUCAUCUUCUGGAGACCAAGUCACCAAUAGUGGCAGUGUAUCCUGAUGCCUCGAAUCAUCGCCAUGUCACAACUUGUGACAGUGAAGCCAAUAUCAUCCUGUGGGACUUCCCCCUGGGGACAUCACUGAAGAAACGCAGCUUCGCCGCGCUGACGUCAGAUGGCAGCGCGAUGGUGGGCCUGUUGCGGCCGGCCGG